CCUGGGAUGUAGCCCAAUGGUAGAGUGCUUUGCCUAGUGUGCACAAGGCCCUGGGUUCAAUCCCCAAUACUAUGA
This 75-nucleotide transfer RNA is filed under the name Marmota monax (woodchuck). RNAcentral describes it as "tRNA.Thr". The record is from RNAcentral. Lineage: Eukaryota; Metazoa; Chordata; Mammalia; Rodentia; Sciuridae.